Molecule: ribosomal RNA, 551 nt
Filed under: Meyerozyma caribbica
Lineage: Eukaryota; Fungi; Ascomycota; Pichiomycetes; Serinales; Debaryomycetaceae
Description: eukaryotic LSU rRNA
Rfam family: Eukaryotic large subunit ribosomal RNA
Source: RNAcentral
AUUGCCUUAGUAGCGGCGAGUGAAGCGGCAAAAGCUCAAAUUUGAAAUCUGGCACCUUCGGUGUCCGAGUUGUAAUUUGAAGAUUGUAACCUUGGGGUUGGCUCUYGUCUAUGUUUCUUGGAACAGGACGUCACAGAGGGUGAGAAUCCCGUGCGAUGAGAUGCCCAAUCCUAUGUAAGGUGCUUUCGAAGAGUCGAGUUGUUUGGGAAUGCAGCUCUAAGUGGGUGGUAAAUUCCAUCUAAAGCUAAAUAUUGGCGAGAGACCGAUAGCGAACAAGUACAGUGAUGGAAAGAUGAAAAGAACUUUGAAAAGAGAGUGAAAAAGUACGUGAAAUUGUUGAAAGGGAAGGGUUUGAGAUCAGACUCGAUAUUUUGUGAGCCUUGCCUUCGUGGCGGGGUGACCCGCAGCUUAUCGGGCCAGCAUCGGUUUGGGCGGUAGGAUAAUGGCGUAGGAAUGUGACUUUGCUUCGGUGAAGUGUUAUAGCCUGCGUUGAUGCUGCCUGCCUAGACCGAGGACUGCGAUUUUAUCAAGGAUGCUGGCAUAAUSAUCCC